GUCACAAUUUGUGUUAAACUGUCCUGUGAUAAUCAUGAUUUACCUCAAAAAGUAACCUAGUCUCUCUCCUCCUCACCUUUCAAAAAAAUUCUAGUAACCCUAUUACAUUGGUCCAAUACUUCAGAGUAUGAAAUCUCACAACUGUGAGAGGAAAAUCAAACUUGUUUUAGCUGAGCCUUAUUUCUGAAGUUUCUUUAAUGACCUUAGAUGGCAUAACUAUUUGUAGAGUAAAUGCAUCACAGAAACCAGAUGUGGUAGUCCUUAGUAGACUGAUACACGUCCAGUCAUGGAAAGCAUUUCUAGACCCGUUUUUAAAUGCAAAUUCCAUUAAAUGAACAUAAACUAUGUACGCCAACAAUUUCACAUUGAAGGAUAUUCUGUUACCCUCGCUCAUUUUAACUUGUGGCUCCCUUCUCAAAUAAUCUCAAAAUAGUUAAUAAAAAUUCCUGCUCAGGCCUCAUACAGUGCACAGGUCUGUUUUUCUGUGUAGAAGUAGAGUUUAAACAAGGAACUGUAUGGAUUUUUCUCUUACAAUAUGAGUGCUAUCUAAAAUGCAAGUUCAGUUCACAAUAACAAUGUGAACUGAAUACAAGAGUAUUGUAUUCAAUACAAGAGUGUAUCAUUUUCUGUCUGAUCAGAUACUCCAUCUGUCUGAAAUUAUCUGCAAAGUAGAUGACAGUCCAGACUUUUCCCCAAUAAAAAAAACGUAUUGUGAUUAUAGGAGAGUGGCCAUAAUCUUCCUAGAAACUGUAGAAAAGAUGCUAGUGCCUGUGUAAUGUUUAUUAAGUAGAACAGAGUGGAUGACACAGAAUCCAUCUUUACCAAAAACAGUUCUUUUUCUUUCUUUCUUUAUUUUUUGUCAAACAGAAAUCAAAAUUCUACUGAAAUCAAGGUACCCAGUGCUCUACUUUGGGGACACUACUCCAGAUAUUCCACAUGGAAGAAGAAAGCUGUGAGUUUCCCUAUGCAGACUGGUGUUGCAGCUUUGCCCUUCACCUAUUCUUUCCACUACACAGGGCUACCUGGAAAACCACUUCAGACACAAAUAUUGUGUCUUCUGUCUGGCUCAGCUGCACAGAGCCUCACAAGAGUAACAGGACUGUUGAAUGAAUGACAUUCAGCUUGGCUGCAGAGGGAUGGGACUUCAAACACUUCGAACCUUUCAAAACAUCUGCCUCAACUUGUAAGGUAAAUUCAGAUUCUGCCUUAUAGCCUGGAGGUUUCUGCAAUUCCUAAAGGAAUUGCAGAAGUGAUGUCCUUCUUUUCUUCCUCAUUAGUUCCUGUCUGUCCAUGACCCAGAUUGAGAAGCUAGAUUAGAGCCAUUACAGCCAAACGCUGUAAGGUGCUUUUGCUCACCUGGUAGCUGAAGUUCACUGGCUGCCAUCAACAUUCUAAAGCAG
RNAcentral lists this long non-coding RNA (1400 nucleotides) under Anas platyrhynchos platyrhynchos (common mallard). RNAcentral's name for it is "lncRNA (ENSAPLG00000020485.1)". The record is from RNAcentral. Lineage: Eukaryota; Metazoa; Chordata; Aves; Anseriformes; Anatidae.